UGAUUGCGAAAUCAAGCCCCCCAUUCUCUAAAGCUCUCAGUCAGGGGUGUUCCUCGGUUUCGGAUGAAAUCGGGGCGGGUUGACAAUACUUCACACGCCUUGGGCGCGUUGUUGCAGUCUGUUAGAUUUGAAGAACUGCCGUGUUUCAUUCCUGAGGAAUUUUGUCUUUGCUCGGUGUAGUGCCUGUCCGUUGAGCCACACUUCUCAGUAAUAAUUCAAGCUCUGAAAAUUCCGAACUUGAUUCAGCAUUCGUCUCUUCCGUUUCCCCCCAAAUUUUAAACUUGCUGUGGUGGUCUACUUUCCUUGGUUGAUGCCUGAAUUGGGUCCUCGAUUGGGCUAUAAUAUAUACAUCUGGAACUGCAAUGAACGGCUGACUGGUUGGCCACGUUGAAAAGCGUAGUGCUAGUGUGCGGCAGAUCGGCUGGCCACGUGGCAGAAGCGGAGAUUUACGUUUGUGCCACUUAUCCCCAUGAGAAUCGUCUCUUAUCUCCUCUCGUUUCCCUCGCGACGAAACAUGCAUCGGCGUCUACGUGCGUGGGGUAUUAGAUAGUGUCUCGCUCGAGAUCACAUCCUCACGGCCGCAGCGUCAACAAUGUCACCGUCGUCGUCGCUCUACUCCGGCCGUCUCCUCUCCUCCCGCCCGGCGUCCAAGGGGCUCGUACGUCGUCUCCUCAAUCACGAUGGGAGCAGGUGGGUCAGGCCGUCGUGCUCCCUGUCUAUGAACGGCUGCGCGGCCGGCGUGGGCGCGGUGACCAUGCACGAGACGCGGGUCCUGCCGGCCGCGUCGGCGCCGCAGGAGGCCGUCGGGCAGCUCAGGGCCGCCGUCGCCGCGCUCAACGCCGACCCGCCGGUGUCCUCCUCCGGCAUCAUCCGCAUCGAGGUAGCAAAAGCACAUGGUCUUCAAUGGCGAACUGCGUUUGAUCGUAUUCGUAUCUGGAUAAAAUGGGACGCGCGCGCACGCAGGUGCCGAUUCGGCAGCGAGGGGACGCCAUCGAGUGGCUGCACGCGCAGAGGCAGAGCUCCCUGCCCCGCUGCUUCUUCUCCGCCCGGGCGCCGCUGCCGGACACUCCGGCCCUCGCCGUGGGCAUCAGCAGCAACGGCAACGGCAGCCACAAGGAGCAGUGGGAGCAGCCGGUAAGCGUCGCCGGCGUGGGGUCGGCGGUCUUCUUCCGCGGCACGGACCCCUUCUCCCUCCGCGACUGGCGAGCCAUCAAGAGGUACGCAAAAACUCACUACCUACUCGAUCAGCUACUAUGUUUUUUCUGAAUUGGAUGAACUAUGAUAAAGCUUGGCUUAGAGUGCGUUUACGACGCUGUUCCUCCUCUUCUUUGUCCGUGAAGAUUUCUUUCAAGGGACUGCCCGCUGAUCCGCGCCUACGGCGCCAUCCGUUUCGACGCGUCGAGCGACGCCUCGGUCGAAUGGGAAGACUACGGCGCAUUCUACUUCGUCGUUCCACAAGUAAGUCGAUCCGCAACUGGUGACAGUUUCAUUCUGCAUGAUGAAUGCAAUGUGCAUGUGUACUGCCUUAUUUCAAGUGUGUGUGAUGUAAAAAUGUACUGCAUUGCAGGUUGAGUUCAGCGAGCUCGAGGAGGGCUCGGUUCUCGCGACGACGAUUGCGUGGGACGACUCCCUUUCUUGGACAUGGCAGAGCGCUGUGGAGGAGCUUCAAUCGACAUUGCACGAGGCAUGGCAUUUUGUUUCCCUGCAUUCUCAUGUGGAAGAUAGUAAGUUAGCAACCGCUAAUUUGAACUUGUAUGCAGAUAUCACCCUGUUCAGUUAAGGUGAACAGGUCCACCCUGCAAACCGCCAUCGUAAAUCUCAAUCAUGUCCCCACCAAGGCGUCCUGGGAUCUUGCUGUUACUCAAGCUCUUCGGAUGAUCAAAGGGAGCCAGACGGAAUUAGUCAAGGUAAACCAUUCAUCGCGUCACUGUCUGCCAAAACAAAAACUAGACGAGUAAUUUUCUUUACCUGUCUUUUUGUGAGUAUAGAGAGGUUUAGUUCAACCAAUCUCUUCCAAUCCUGAUAUUUGUAUGAAUGCUAGAAUUUUUCAGUUAGUUACUAAAAAAACACUUAUUUUCCAUUUUUGUUUUCGACAUAUAUUGAACUUGCCAAUGAACUAUUUCUGCAGGUUGUGCUGGCAAGGUGCAGCAGGUACAUCACUGAUACUUGCAUCGACCCUCUGGAGCUGUUAGCUUGUCUGAAGGUAUGUCGUAUUAUUGUCCUCUCCCUUCAUGAUGUACUCAUAUCAUCUUGUUUACGAGAAGAUCAUUCUGCGACUCUUGUAUGUAUAGGUUGAGGGCCAGAAUGCCUACCAGUUCUGCAUACAGCCACCCGAUGCUCCUGCAUUUGUUGGAAAUAGUGUAUGUCUUCUGCGAUGCACUUUCUUUUCUUCCUGAUAUACCUGACCUUCAGAGUCCUGUUUAGAAACAGGUCUUACUUAUGCCUUGUGCAUUGUUUAUCUCUAUAUUUGCUCUAGCACUGUUAAAUAACUCUCUUCUAACUAUUGCUAAUUUCAUCCAAACAUUCUGAAUAGCCAGAGCAACUAUUUCACCGGAAAUACUUGAACAUUUCCAGCGAGGCUUUAGCCGGUACGCGAGCAAGAGGGAAAACAAGGGCUGAUGAUUUUCAAAUUGGCCAGGAAUUGCUUCUAAGGUUUGUUUCCCCUCUUUGUGCUUGUAAUCAUAAGAUUGACAUAUUUCUGAAAUUUUACGGAGAUAUCGGCACCUUGUACGAAGACCAGACUGGUCAGUAAUGUAAAUAAUUCUUGCAGCAUCAAAGAGGACACUGAAUUUACUAUAGUACGGGAAAGCAUAAAGAAGAAGCUUGAGGCAAGUUAAGUUUCAGAGUCCAAUUUCAGAUAUGAUCCUGGACUAGUUUGCGUUGCUCUUGGUACUCAGCAGUAAUGCUUUUCAGAAAACAAAAUAUGGUGACUGUAAUUUUUGCUGAACCAGUGGAUCUGAUCUAAUCUGCAGAUGAUCUGUGAUGAGGUUGUUGUCAAUCCCAGUAAGGCCCUUCGGAAACUUCCAAGAGUACAACAUUUGUCAGCUCAAUUAGCUGCAAGAUUAAGAAAUGAGGACGACGAGGUAAUCUGUGGUUUGAACAUUCUCUGUCACUUGGACAUGUAGGUAUCAUUUGAAUUUUCUUUUGCCCUGGAUUGUUGGAGACAUCGACUAGUGUUCAUAUAAUAGACUUGAUACUUCGUGCUGGUAUUUGCAGUUUGACAUCCUAAAUGCUCUUCAUCCAAGCCCAGCUGUUUGUGGUUUGCCCACUGAAGAAGCGCGCCAAUUCAUACGAGAUUAUGGUGUGUGCCUGUAUUCUGGCUGAAAUGUUAUCUAUGAACGCAUAUGCACUAUUGUGUUCUGUAUUUAGUACGCAACCUAUUGAUGGUGAUCUCUGAAUGCUAUUUUCUGAUGUUGCUGCAGAAAUUUUCGACCGUGGAAUGUACGCUGGACCUGUUGGUUGGUUUGGUGGAGCUGAAAGUGAGUUUGCUGUUGGAAUUAGAUCAGCACUACUUGGAAAAGUAAAUAAAACACAUGUCAUCAAUAUUUGUGUAAACCUUACCUUCUUAACCUAUCCUAAUUUAGAAGCAUAAGUCACCUAGCUGUCUUGUCCAGGGAUAUAGCACUUUAGUUUAUGCCGGUGCCGGGAUUGUCGAAGGUACAAAUCCAUCUUUUGAAUGGGAUGAGCUUGAUCUCAAAGCAUCUCAGGUAGUCUCUGUCCAAUGUCAUGACUGUUAUUACUGACUUCUAUUUGAAAUGCUAACACGUUAGAUCUUACGACUAUUUUCAGUUUGCAAAGUUGUUGCAGUAUCAAGAACAUCAUAUUUGCUACCAAGAGGCAGGAAACAUGGGGACAUUGAUUUGAACUGUAACUAGUAAGUCAUCAGAGAUUACAAUGCUUAGAAAGAGGUGGGAAAUUACGUUAUCUCAAUUAUAUAGAAUGUCUACAACUUCAGUUUGUAUCUGACAUUGGAAUGCCCGAUGUGUUUAUUUUGAACUCCUUCUACAGGGAAGUUUUGAUUUGGUGGGAAGAUUCCAAAUGGAGUUCAUAUCUGUUUGUGUGCGUGCGUUGUAAACUUCGAAAGAUUUCAGCCUGAUUUGCAUGGCUCUUGAAGAUGCAAUCACAGAAAUAUCGAAAUAUCGAUUCGAGGAGAUGACAGUGAUGAUAGUCGUGGAGCGUACAAAAGAUUAAAUAAAAGCAUAUUAAAUAAUUAUGUACAAUGAUUGUAACAAGUCAGUUUAGUGCAAAGUGUAUAUUACACGAUGAGUUUUUUUAUCCACGCACCCCAGGGAUGGGGAUGGGCAUCGGGAUGGUGUCACGGGUGUGUGGAUCAUAUUAUAGCAAAUCUCAACUGGGUAUUCCCCAUUGUCACUUUGAGUCUAGAUGGACCACAAUCUGAGUACUACUAUUAUUGACUCCCUCGCACGGUCUUCUUGUUCAUCAAAUGGAUGUUAAGAUAACUUUCCUAAAUGGAGAGUCAGAGAAGAAAAUUUACAUGGAACAAAAGAUGGAUUUGUAGUAUCGGGUCAGGAAAGGAAGAUCUGCAAUUUACUGAAAUCUUUGCAUGGCCUAAAACUAGCACAUAAGCAAUGACACCAGAAAUUUAUCAAAACUUUAAAUUUCAUAGACUUUGUUGUCAAUGAAGACAAAAAAUGUGUUUGCUACCGUUAUGGUGGAGGCAAGGGAGUGAUCAUUUGCUUGUACGUUGAUGCAUACUAAUCUUUAGCACCAGGGGAUCUGUGAAGUAGGACCUCGGAAAACAAACCUUUGCAGUUGGAGAGAACAUUUCCUAAAAUCACUCAUUUGAACAUGUAGUUCUCUCACGGAUAUAGUAAGGCGGACUUAUUAUUCUUAAUGUGCUCUAUUACUUGUGUACGCGAAGAUGUUGCCUUACAGGACUGUCUUUGAAAAAACAAACCUUUAUGAGCUAGUUGCCGGUCACACUCUAUGAUAUUAGGUAAUAUCUAGUAAGCUCAUGAAAGGCCAGGAGUACGACUUAUGUUGCUGGUCACACUCUAUUUCAAAUGGAGUACACGUUCACUCACUAACUCGACUUACCACGCCACACAUGGUGCGCACGUCGUGUUUCACGAGUCAAAUUCGAGUUUGAGCUAAGAGCAGUUUUAACAUGCUCCCUCUUACGUCAUCUUUUCACAUGAGAGGUAAGAGUACAUAUUAGAUCUGAGCCGUUGAUCUCAUUAAUUAGUGAUCCGAUUAACUCUUACCUUCUUACCGCACAUGUAAAAAGAAGGGGUAAGAGGGAGCAUGUUAAAUUUUGCCUUGAGCUAAUAUUAUGCACUAUGUUUGAAGAACUAAAAUUUUGCUUGGCAGUGCAUUGCUAAGGAAGCUUCGGGUGUACAUGUCAACACUCAGCUCGUUGUGGGCACAUUUUUUUGCUUUCAGAGAUUUCUUCCGCCAUGUGUUAGUUGCAUCUCCCCAGUCUUCCAUGCAUUGAAGGUCAGAACUACCAAAUCAUCAUAACGGUAAUCUAAUGCAAUAUGACCAAACAACAUAAACUGGUUGGUCUAUUCAACUUGAUAUUCCAACCAUUUUAGAUAUGGAAAGCUAUUUCCAAAUUCUUGAUAAGGAAAGGUAGUACGUAUGUGUACCUUGGCCAUUUGUCCUGUCUAAGAAAGCAUGUAGUUUCAAUGUUGUUCUGUAAUACAUCAUUCCAUGAACAAACAUUACAGUUGUAUUAGGGCAAACUCACUGCCGGUUGCUUGAAAACCCUUGUCAAGACCGAGUUCUAUCACCAUAGGCAACCUCGUAAGCUAGUGGCGGAGCUACAUGCAUUGUUGAGGGGGAGGGGGCCAAUGCCCCCCCACCCUAGGAUAUUUAGUGAAUAAAAAAGUAGAGGCUUAGAUUAAUAAGAUUGUAGUCAUCCUCCCCCCCCCCCCAAAGAUUUAUAUUUUCUCUUUUCCUCCCCCUUGUUUAUCUCCUAGCUUUGCCCCUGACGGAAGCAAUCCAAUUUGGACGAAUGACUGGGAUGCAAGGGAACUUUCUAACGACUUCAUAUUCUUAGCCUUUGCUUUCAGUAGGAUACCUUCAUGUAGCCCACCAAGGACCAAAUACAACUGCCCACAGAGGAAAAAUAUAAACACCUUUGAUAACUGCAUAAAAUAUGGACCCGUUAGAAUAAUAGGACUCGUCAUUGGUACUAAACAAAAAAUACUUCCACAAAAAAGAUUGGAUUUGACCAAGGUGAAGUUACAAUGCAAGCGUGCAAGAGAGAGAGAGAGAGGGAUGGAGAAAACAUAUUAGGCCAUUGAACUAGAGCUCCACUGCGAUGAAAUAACAGAAGAACAUCCGACGAUGAUCAGUCCUUGCCCUAGGCGGUAUAUUUCACGCCUGACUGUCUGUUCACCAUUGCCAUUUCCUUUGGCUUCAACUAUUGAUAUCCGAUUAAGACUAACAUCAUGCCCUUUGCCAAUCUUAUUAACCCUUGUCAAGACCGAGUUCUAUCACCAUAGGCAACCUCUAAGCCAGUGGCGGAGGUACAUGCAUUGUUGAGGGGGAGAGGGCCAAUGCCCCCCCCCCCCCAGGAUAUUUAGUGAAUAAAAAAGUAGAGGCUUAGAUUAAUAANNNNNNNNNNNNNNNNNNNNNNNNNNNNNNNNNNNNNNNNNNNNNNNNNNNNNNNNNNNNNNNNNNNNNNNNNNNNNNNNNNNNNNNNNNNNNUGCCUCCCCCCUUGUUUCUCUCCUAGCUUUGCCCCUGAUGGAAGCAAUCCAAUUUGGAUGAAAGAUUGGGAUGCAAGGGAACUUUCUAACGACAUCAUAUUCUUAGCCUUUGCUUUAAGUAGGAUACUUUCAUGUAGCCCACUAAGGACCAAAUACAACUGCCCACAGAGGAAAAUAUAAACACCUUCGAUAACUGCAUAAAAUAUGGACCCGUUAGAAUAAUAGGACUCGUCAUUGGUACUAAACAAAAAAAAACAUCCACAAAAAAUAUUGGAUUUGACCAAGGUGAAGUUACAAUGCAAGCGUGCAAGAGAGAGGGAGGGAUGGAGAAAACAUAUUAGGCCGUUGAACUAGAGCUCCACUGUGGUGAAAUAACAGAAGAGCAUCCGGCAAAGAUCAAAUCCUUGCCCUAGGCGGUAUAUUUCACGCCAGACUGUCUGUUCACCAUUGCCAUUUGCUUUGGCUUCAACUAUUGAUAUCUGAUUAAGACUAACAUCAUGCCCUUUGCCAAUUUGAAUAUACUCAUUGUAAAUUAUAUUUCCGCGACGCAAUAUGGAAUUAUAACCUGUAAAGUUAAUGUUAAGGCACAAUUUCGUUCAAAAUGACAUGAAUUUAUUAUUUCCAACAGAACAAAUAUUUAAAUUACCAGCAAAUGCAUCCUUGCUUAAGUUUAUGGUUUUAGAGGCUUUCCUUAUACCACCUCUUGUCAAAUGAAAGAUCCGGAUGACCAUAGUGAAUCGUACUCUGCAACCAUUUUGGAUCUUUUAGUACAUUACAUAAACAUACUAUCAAUUCUUCGGUAAAGAUAUACACGGUAUUUAAUAGUACUAUAUGACACCCUAACAUUCAUAAAACGAGAACAACAGAGCGUCGGAAAUUAGUUUGUGCCAUCUAUGAUGAGAAGCAUACUUUCACCUAAUGGGAUCAACGAGGAAUCUAUGUCAAUUGUAACAAAGGUUGUUUCUUAGUAUGACAUGAAUCCAGCAACCGAAAUAUAUUGCAACGGGUUUCCGGAACAACACGCGGGGUAUCAUCUACUCCCUCUGUCCCAUAAUAUAAGAGCGUUUUUUUACACUAGUAUAGUGCCAAAACAUAGUUAAUUAGGGAAGUUGAGCAUGGCCCUAAUGCCAUUAGCAAUGAAGAAAUUAUUUUGGCCAUGGACGAUGCUGAUUCUGGUUUUAUGGCUGCAUUUUAUUCCGUGUGAAUGUGUGAUAUCAAAAAAAGAAGAAGAAGGCAGACAGUAGUUUGAUCUACAUAAAUUCUACACGGGUAAACGUUGGAAUCACAACACGAGAGCAAGAACAGAUCAUUGAGCCAAUUAUUGAGGCCUUAAACUUCACGGACCACACAAUUUUUUCCACGCACUUAUCGCCUUGCUGCCAUCACAAGAUGCUACGGUCCAUUGCUGCAACAGUGUUCCCAAGUUUUAGCCAGGCAACCAGUCCAAUCCCACAGAUAUCGUGCCAAAAACCAAAUCUGAGAAUAGUCAUCUGAAUGAACCGACUAAUGUUGAUUGAUGCGACGAUAAAAACCAAUAAAAAAUAUCAUAAUCAGAAGAAGAAAACAAUCUACUUCAUCAGCAUUAACACCUCGUGCUAUGUCAUCAAUCAACCCGCUUCAUCGAUCCGCCGUCGAGCAGCAGCCAGCGUAUAUAUGUAGCUCGGUUCCUCAGCACCAACUCAUCAGCAAACCCGUGACUGCGAAGAAGAAAAAGAAGAAGAAAGAGUGAGGGAGGUAUCAACUGAAGCUCUUGGAGUGAAAUGGCUACCGCCGGGAAGGUGAUCAAGUGCAAAGGUUGGUUCCUGAACCAUUAAGUUUCCUAUUCAUCUCAGUCUGUGUGAAGAAAUUCCUGGAAUGGGUGGAUGGGAUGAAAUUAACAAGGGAGGGCGUAUAGUUAAUUUGGUUGGUGCUGGCAGCGGCGGUGGCGUGGGAGGCCGGGAAGCCGCUGUCGAUGGAGGAGGUGGAGGUGGCGCCGCCGCAGGCCAUGGAGGUGCGCGUCAAGAUCCUCUACACCGCCCUCUGCCACACCGACGUCUACUUCUGGGAGGCCAAGGUACAUAUCUUAUCCAAAACAUCUCAUAGUGUACCAAUUUUGUGUUUUCCAGAUUACUUUAUCUGGAUGAAUGGAUGAGUUGGUGAUGCGCUGCUUGGAUCUUGGCAGGGCCAAACUCGGCAAAUUUGACCAUUUUGACCUACGGACGAAAUCAAUUCACGGAAUGAACUGAUCGUGAAACUAUUUCACAGCCCUAACCUUUUUGUGUAGCGCCCGCCACGACGGCGCCACACCCUACUGUGCAGCGCCUAGCACGGGGACGUUGCACACCAGUCCACCGUGGCAGCCCCUGGGCCCGCACACAGCAGUGCAACGCCUUCGUGCUAGGCGCCACACAUGUAAUGUGCAGCGCCCAGCCCAUAGGCGCCACACUUGUAAAGUGCAGCGCCUAGCGCGUAGGCGCUGCACUGUGACUUAUCCAGCCACUUGGCUGCCCCCCCUCCCCCACCCCCACACCACACACUCUCCCACUCUCCUCCCCGAGCUUUGCCCCCUCUCCCACUCUCUCCCCCUCUCAAAUCCUCUCCCAAAUCUUGCAAAUUUGAAGAAUUUGUCCGUGGAUUUCGAAGUCAAACCCUCCCUCAAGGUAAUAUUCUCCGAUCCCCUUGUUUUGAUUCAAGUAAAGUUCCCAUUGCUCAUUUGUUGCUAGUUUGGGGAAACCCUAGUUUUGUUUGGAUCUAGAGAUUUGCAUGGAAAUGUGAGAUGUUUGUUUACCAAUUUCUAUGGUUAGGCUUUGUUAGUAUGCUAGGGUUAUUCUUAUGGGUGUUCUUAUGUUGGUGCUAGGGUUAGGUUUAGGGCUAGGGUUAUGGUUAUGGUUAUGGUUAUGGUUAUGGUUGUUGUUUGAUAUAUAUAUUAGGGUUUCUAUUCCGUGUUAAUUCUUGUAUUAGUACUCAUGGAAGCAAUGUUACCUUGUGUUAUUGGAAUGCUUAUAGGGAUGGGAAGAACAUGUGUGUUUGUUCAUCAUGGGGACAAGGACGCCUUUUUGAAAGGCAAUGUAGAACCGGACCCGGAUGAGGUUGACAUGGUGUUUGAUAGUAGUCCUAGCUAUGCGGAGCUCUUGCAACAAGUUAGGGAAGAUUUGAAUUGGACGGACCCUAGUGAUAUCAUAGAGUUGGAGGGAAGGCAUAAUGUUGGUUUUGGAAUGCACAUCCGUUGGAAGACAAUGCGUGUCAACUCGGAGCAACGUUGGGUUGCAUACAAGGAGACGGUGGCCGAAUCACUAGACAAGGCUCUUGAGUUAUUUGCAACGAAGAAGGUUGGUUCAAGUUUGCAUUUGGACUUGAACCGGAACCCCUCCCCUUUGGUUGCUAGUAGCCCCACACCCUUGAAGCGAGAUGAACUUGUUGAACCUCUUUUGACCCAAGAAGUGAGGCCAACAUGAGCCCGUUUACAAACAACCAAGAUGAAGCUUUGCAAGAGGACAAUGAUGAGUAUGCGGACGAUGACAAUGAAGUUGAUCUCCAUGACAACAAUGUGGGUGAUCUCGACAAAUAUCACUUGCAAGAGACAAUGGAUCCUUCCAUCCCUUUUUCCCGUGCAUAUGCAUUGGACUCGGAUGACGAUGGUCCCGAUGAACAAGUGGAUGCGGAGGGGUUCACGGUGAAGGAGGCCGAAGCUUUCGAGAAGGUAUUUGGUCGGGAUCAUCGGACUACAUUGUUCAAGGAUGUUAGUCUCGCGGAUGAAGCCGUGGUAGAUGGUGGCAAUGUGUACCUCUUGGGGUUAGGCCAAGCUCUCAUCGUGAUUUGGGAGACGACAAGAACCGCAUUGCUAAAGGUUCUAAGUUUGACACCUUCUUAUGCAAUGUCGAGUUACGAUGGAAGCAUGAUAAUAACUUAUGCAAUGUCAAUUCACCUGCUCAGGCGUGAUCGCGUCCAUCUCGCUCCUGUACAGCUUGUACAUGACCGAGGGAUCAUCCGUCAUCUCAUUUAACACAUCCCACUUGUAAGCCCAAGUGGGGAGCCGUAGUGGAUCGUCUUUCUCGUCCCAAUCCUCGAACUUCACGGUCUUCGGUCGUCCAACCGGCAAACGCUCCCAGCUCCAUAUGGAAAGUGCGAGCAAACAACCACCAAUACCUCCAGAUAGCCUACAACAGGCUUCGUCCAACUGCACAUAAAAGAGAACAUGGUUGAAUUAACAGCAACAUCGCAUUCAUAAUGUACCAAUGAAUUAAAACAGAAACAACUUCAUACCUGUCUAUACAAGUAAGCCAGUGUCGCCGAACCCCAACUCCAUUUGCUAUCGAAGACGGUCAACGCCUUGAGCCACAUCCAUGGAGCAUUCUUGCCUGUGCCAUCAGCAAACAUACUCCUGGAUAUCACGUACCACAUGUAGACACGAGCAUAUGUCUUCACCGUGUCCUCAUUAGCAUCCUCAGGGCAAUUACUGAAGUUCGAUACAAUCCACGUGAAAGUAGCACCGGCUGCGACUCUUUCCUUCUUCUUGCCUUCUACUUCUGGUUCGCGCGGCUCCGGAGGAACCAUACCGAUAAGGGCAAGCAUUUGCUCGCGCCACCCAUCAGAAUCGGUGCUCAUACAUAGAGGAUUCCCAUCGAUAGGAAAACCGGUGAUCAUAGCUAUAUCCUGGAGCGUCACGGUCAUCUCCCCGGUCCGAAGAUGGAAAGUGUGUGUCUCCGGCCUCCAAUGAUCAAUAAGCGCGGUGAGUGCUGGAGGAUUGUUGGGUGGCGUCGACCUGCUGACCAACUGAAUGAAAGAGAGAAGUCUUGUCUCCCUAACAUACGGGGUGUACCGCUCAUCAUAGCGCAUCCACCCAAGGUUGACCCCGUGAGCCCGAAGCUUCAGAGGUGCAAGCUCCUACAAGCAAACAAACAAAUCAUUACAUAUGGGGGGUAUGUGUUUGAAAAAAAACACGAAAUUCAUAACACCGACAACUUUCAUUAUUACCUGCUGCUUCACCGACAUAGCGUACGACCGGUGUUGUAGAUCCCAAUGAUCAUUGAGAAGCCAAACCAUCCUAGCAAUUUGCAAGAAAGCUUUCUUGUCAACACGAUUAUCUUUUGAAUACAAAAAAACUAAAGUAGGCCUACUAGAUGCAACCAUACCAAUCUAUGUAUCCAACCAUAUCAAAUCAAACAUAACUAAUAAAAAAGGGUUCCACAAAUAACUAGGCCUACUUCAUACAAAUAACUUUUCCAUAAACUAUGCCUACUUCAUAAAAAUAACUCUUCCAUAAACUAAACUAGGGUUCCACAAAUCAAACAAACAAGGGUUCCCCAAAUCAAUCAAACAAGUCAAUACAUGCAAAGUUCUAAUACAUGCAAGAUUCAAAUCUAAUCUAAUCAAACAAGGAUUCCCCAAAUCUUCAAAAUAUCAUAUUUUCUAUGGAUAGAAAGAAGGGGAUCGGAAGAGAGUACCUUCUAGGAUGGAUUGGUGAAGAAAUGCACGGACCAAAUCGUCGGAUCUGAAGGAUUUGGGAGAGGGGAUUGAGAGGGGGAGAGGAGGAACCUGCCGCGCCGCUGCUUCUGUUACUUCAAAACCGAACGAAUGGGUGGGGUGGGGGAGGGGGAGCGGGCGGCUAGCGUCUAAGUCACCGUGCAGCGCCUACGGGCUGGGCGCUGCACAUUACAUGUGUGGCGCCUAGCACGGAGGCAUUGCACUGCUGGGUGCGGGUCCAGGGGCUGUCACGGUGGACUGGUGUGCAACGCCCCCGUGCUAGGCGCUGCACAGUAGGGUGUGGCGCCGUCGUGGCGGGCGCUACACAAAAAGGUUAGGACUGUGAAAUAGUUUCACGGUCAGUUCAUUCCGUGAAUUGAUUUCGUCCGUAGGUCAAAAUGGUCAAAUUUGCCACCAAACUCCGGUUUUCCUUAGGAUCUUGGGCCAUGAAGCUGGAGGGUAUCCAUACUCACCUUUUGCCUCUCUCUUAGCCGCCCCCCCCCUCUCUUUCCCCUGUUUUAAGUUUUAAUAAUUGUUAAUCACUUCAUGGAAUCUAGCUUUGAAUCCUCACCUGAAAUAUGGUUUUAUUGGUGCAAUUAUAGUCAUCCUGAAUCCUACUAGUAUUUACCCCGAAAAUAAUAAUAAAAAGAAUCCUACUAGUAUUUGUCUGUACUUUUUUUAUUAGUACUCCCUCCAUUCCGAUUUACUCGUCGUGAUUUUAGUUUAAGAGGCAGUACUUUGCUGAAGUAACAUGUUUGUUCCCUCACAGCAUUGUGGAGAGUGUCGGUGAGGGCGUGACGGAGCUGGUGCCGGGCGACCAUGUCCUCCCGGUGUUCACCGGAGAGUGCAAGGAGUGUGCCCACUGCAUGUCAGAGGAGAGCAACCUCUGUGACCUCCUCAGGAUAAAUGUCGACUGUGGCGUGAUGAUCGGCGACGGGCAGUCCCGCUUCAGCAUCGACGGGAAACCCAUCUUCCACUUCGUCGGGACGUCCACCUUCAGUGAGUACACCGUGAUCCAUGUCGGGUGCCUUGCCAAGAUCGACCCCGAGGCGCCCCUCGACAAAGUCUGCCUCCUUAGCUGUGGUAUCUCAACCGGUAAGAGUCUAUAUGUACUGAGCCGCCGACGAGUUCAACAUGUUUGGGACGCCUCGGCGAAUUGCUGAGAUUUCAUGUUUCCAAUUCAGGGCUUGGUGCGACCCUCAACGUCGCAAAGCCCAAGAAGGGCAUGACAGUGGCGGUUUUCGGUCUUGGAGCUGUAGGCCUCGCUGUAAGUGUUCCUCCACCAGAUAUUCUUUCAGGUCGAUCGAUGAGAAUUGUUCUAUGACCAUGACUAAUUACAGGCCAUGGAAGGGGCCAGGAUGUCCGGCGCAUCGAGGAUUAUCGGCGUGGACUUGAACCCUGCAAAACACCAACAAGGUACGCAUGAUAAUCUGCCGCUGCCAUGCCAUCGAUCUUCAGGAAGAAAAUUAAAACAAUCCAUCCAUCUUGGCAAAAUGUAUAUUUGUUAGCACCGGAGCAGACUGACUGAGCCUUGCAACCCCAUGCAUGUCCAUUGCUUUUCAGCUAAGAAAUUUGGCUGCACCGACUUUGUGAACCCCAAGGACCACGCCAAGCCAGUGCAAGAGGUACUUGUUCAUGACAUACGCGCACAAGAAGCUUGUGUCAAAUGAAAUGCUGAUGGUCCAAAAAUACGCCGCAGGUGAUCGUGGAGAUGACCGACGGCGGGGUCGACCGGGCCGUGGAGUGCACGGGCAACGCCGACGCCAUGAUCUCCGCCUUCGAAUGCGUGCACGAUGUACAUAUGAUGAUCACUUGCUCCUUCUUCUGCUGCUUGAAACUGAAUCCUGACACUAACACUAUGGCCUGAUGGACGGGAGCAGGGGUGGGGCGUGGCGGUGCUGGUGGGGGUGGCGCACAAGGAGGCGGUGUUCAAGACGCACCCCAUGAACUUCCUCAACGAGAGGACGCUGAGGGGCACCUUCUUCGGCAACUACAAGCCGCGCACCGGCCUCCCCGGGGUCGUGGACAUGUACAUGAGGAAGGAGCUGGAGCUGGACAAGUUCAUCACCCACAGCGUGCCCUUCUCGCAGAUCAACACGGCCUUCGACCUCAUGCUCAAGGGGGAAGGCCUGCGCUGCGUCAUCAGGAUGGAGGAGUAGAGGUAGAGCCCCUGGCUCUUCUUCAUCCCUCGCUGCUAUUGGACUACAACACACAUGUAUCAGCUUCUUUGCUACUUUUUUUUUGAAGUCAUGCCACUUAUAGGACUCCGAUUCAUUAAAUAAGCAGAAGAGGGUUGCUCGAUUAAUUUGCGAAAACUCGGCGAAAACCAUCACAACAUGCCCACAAAAGGGCACACCUGUUCAACCUCACUACCCACAAGACCCGCACUGUCGAGGACACGUACGCCUUUCUCUUACCGCCAGAAAGAAACCGCAUCGAAUCGCCAUCCUCCGACAACAAGAACUGCUUACUUCCUCCGUCCCAUAAUAUAAGAUGUUAAGAACAAAUUUGCAUCCUACAACAAAGACUGCUUGUUGCCUACUUCCUCCGUCCCAUAAUAUAAAAUGUUAAGAACAAAUUUGCAUCCUACAACAAGGACUGCUUGUUGCCUACUUCCUCCGUCCCAUAAUAUAAGAUGUUAAGAACAAAUUUGGAUAUAAGAUUCAGUUGGAUAUUUAUGCACCAUGCAGGAGAAGUGAGAACGAAUUUUGAUACAAGAUCCAGUUGGACAUUUACGUAACCAAUUGAUUUAUUUCUACAUCGUUUGCCUACAUCUGGGUUUUCCAUUUUUUGUUUUUAUGCAACCCCCCUCUCCCUGUCUACUUAUUCGAAAUAUCAGUGAUUUGUUUCUCAUCACAGCAGAUGAUCAGAUUUAAUCUACACCCCACCCUUUGACUGGAAGAAGCGUGCGUGAAACAGUGUUACAGAACCUGGACAGCUGAUACUAUUCAACUAAUUUCAUAAUCCAUAACUGCUCAGUAUUUACAAACUAUUGCCUGGUUGAGUACAGUCAGAUCCAAGCAAAUUUUACAAGUUAAUCUCAUGAGCUGAAAUUGACAGGAUCCAGGGACAUAACAUGUAUCCAAAUACAGACUUUGUGGUUCACUCUAUCAACGGUCUCCGAAUUUUGAUCAGGCAAAGAACUCGACCAUGUUGUUAGUCCAAGACUGUCAUUUUGAAGGGGUGGCACCUUGUCUUGAUGAAGAAUCCGGAUCAAGCUGGGCAUAAGAGGGAGACGUUUCCGGCUCCAGUAGGAUUUGCCUGAGAUGCUUGUCCUCGAGAUGUUCCUAGAAACAAUUAAAACAUGGAACGAUCAGCCAUUAGAUAAGCAAGAAACACGCAACAUUAAAUCACAAAAUUUAAACCUAAAUGACUGAAAUGCAAGAUACGACAGAUUGCUUAUGUCGUAGUGAAGAAAACAGGGUACUGGUGUAUGUUGAACACUCAUCGUGCGAUACAACAGUGCUUUGUGAAUGAAACCACUUUGUUGAACUCAAUUCCUGAACAAUCAUUCUUGUAACACACAGAUACUAUAUGGCAACAUGGACAACUGAAGAGGUAAAUAACACAGAUACAGACCGAAUUUUGACAAAGUGAGAACUUUCCCUAUAAAUAAACUAAUUAAAUACAUUGGGGUGGUAAGAAGUUUUUGUUCCUUGCAGUAACAGCAAAUUACUGCAAACAAAAAGCACAAGGCUGUGAACCAUCGAUCUGGUACGAUUUGAUAUAACCACCAGUUUUACAGAACACACAUCAUUGCUAUUUACACUAUAUAAGUCAUGGAGAACAAUUGACUUGCAACUGUGCAAGUGAAAAAAAAAGACAGUCCGUUCAGCAAUAGAAAUUGACAACAGUGAGUUUUCCUAAGAAAUAGCAGAUCUUUUGCUGGGUUGGCAGUCAGUAAGCAACCAGAAUGCCUACCAACCAUUCCCAAAUUCUCACCAGCAUCGCACCAGUUAUGACCAAUACUUGCCUAGAAAACAACCUAACAGCAGCCAAUAAGCAAAAUAAGAACACCUGUAACUGCAAAUGGUUUUAACAAGAUCCGUUUUUGGUGUAGCCUGGGAUGUAAGCAUAGAAGGGUUUGCUGGUUACUUUGGCCCCUUUUAUCCACCAAAAAAAAUUCAUUGUUGGUUAACUCUCUACAGACUGAGCUCCCCUGCGAUAUCAAUUAACUGCUUUGCCAUGCAAAUGCCGGAACUAGCACAGUCUUGCAAGCUCAAUCGCUCCGGCUAUUCAAACAGGAUACAAGGUUAAUAAUCUCUGUUUUUAGGCAAUAACCUUUUUGGGUAGAAAGAGCGUCCUUGUUAACCUACAUUGCUUGUCCACAUAAGUGCUCUGAACUGACAUUGCACACAAUAGCCGCCGGAUCCCACAUUUGCAACAUGAGGACCGCAGCGCAAUCCAAAUCAAGAUCAUAAGCAACAUAACACCUGACUGCCAUAAGCCCCCCCUACUAUGAUGAUUCUCACAUUCUCCCCAGAAUACCCACCUUAAGCCAACGCAGUUAAAAAAGCGACAUAACCGAGACAGUCCCUCCUCAAAUAUCUUCCUAAACAAGAACUCCAAAUCUUACAUGAAAUUUAUGCCUCCCAGUCCCAGGACUGGAAUUAUCUCAGCCUAAACUAUAAGAUCUUCAUAAUCAGGAAUCCAUAUCUCUGGAAAAUAUCACCUCAGGGAGCCCCAUCAGAGAAAACUAGGCGGUCAAUGGUGGGGGAUCUCUACCGCGCGCAUAGCAAACCGGUGAUCCAAUCUAACCGGCAAGCAACGAUAGCGAGGUGUGGUUGGGGCGAGGGGGGGUGUUGGCGGGCGUGGGCUAGGUUUACCUCGAGGCAGGCGCGGUACUUGUGCCAGUCGGCGGCGCAGUCGUCCUUGUUCCACUGGCCCUUGGCGAACUUGUCGGCGUACCACCGGUUGAAGCACUCGUGGUACGCCGCCCGGAGGUCGGAGCAGGCCGCCGCGGCAGCCGACGAGGUGGCGGCCGCCGGGGAGGGCGUGGACGAGGAUUGCUUGCCCCGGCCGAACACCAUCCUUGUGCUGCUUCUCCCUGGCCACCACCGCCGCCGAGUCUCGUUUUGUGUUCUCGCUUUGUCCUUCCCUCUCUCUCUUCCGUCCCACGAUCCUGCGCAAAGACGGAGGUUUAUUUACCGUAUAAUAAUCCGCUCGUAAGGCGUAUUUGGGGAUAUUACGUAAACCUACUCGAAGCGGAUUCCAAUUUCUACCGCAAAGCCGUACCCAACUUGCAUACGCCUGGUGUAUUAUGUUUUUCGGACGGACGCCUCGUGUGUGUUUUAACUACUUUUGAGUUUUCUCUCCCUUUUUUUAGCAUAUAAAAUUAAUUGUUUUUGUUAUUUUAAAAACUUCUAAUUUAUUCGUCGACUAUCAAGAUAUAGUACAAAUAACAGAAGUAAAAAUUAAAUCCAUAUCGUAUACCACCUAGCGACGACUACAAGCACUGGGGCGAGCCGAAUAAGCGCUGCCAUCAUCGCCCCUCCAUCACUCGAGUCGGACAAACCUUGUCGUAGUAGACAGUCGGAAAGUCGUCAUGUUAAGACCUCAUACGACCAGCGCACUAGAAUAGCAACCGUCGUCGAUGAAGAGAAGCGUAGAUCAAAAAGAUCCAAUCUGUAGACACACCAACAUAGACGAAUAAAGACUGGAUCCAAGCGGAUCCAUCGAAGAAAACGCCGACUGAAUCCCGUGAGAUCCAUCGGAGACAAACCUCCACAUGCUCUUCGAUGAUGCUAGGCUCUCCUUUCUCCUCCCUCUCCCCCCCGCUCCUCUCCUCCCCCUUCCCUGCCCCUCCGCCACCGCUCCAUGCCCCUCCGCCGUUGCCCUGGGCUCUGAUUCUNNNNNNNNNNNNNNNNNNNNNNNNNNNNNNNNNNNNNNNNNNNNNNNNNNNNNNNNNNNNNNNNNNNNNNNNNNNNNNNNNNNNNNNNNNNNNNNNNNNNNNNNNNNNNNNNNNNNNNNNNNNNNNNNNNNNNNNNNNNNNNNNNNNNNNNNNNNNNNNNNNNNNNNNNNNNNNNNNNNNNNNNNNNNNNNNNNNNNNNNNNNNNNNNNNNNNNNNNNNNNNNNNNNNNNNNNNNNNNNNNNNNNNNNNNNNNNNNNNNNNNNNNNNNNNNNNNNNNNNNNNNNNNNNNNNNNNNNNNNNNNNNNNNNNNNNNNUCCCCUCCCCCCCGCGUCUGGCUGUUCCUCCCCGGCUCGCUCGUCGGUGGUUCGCUCUCCGGCGGCUUCUCCGUCUCUGCUUGGCUCCCGCUUUUGGGCUCUCGCUUCCGAUGAGGAUGGCUCAUCGGACGAGGAUCCUUCCCCCCGGCCCUCGCCGGCUCGCCCUGUGCGGGUCCCUUCCCCCUCCAUCACGCCUCGCCCUCGCAAGUUCGGGCCUGGGGGUCGGGGUCGGCCGGUGCCGUCGCCGUCGUCUGCUGCUGGCUGGGUCCGGAUUUCUUGUAGUCAGCGCAAAUCUGGUAAGGUUUCCUGCUUCUCGCAUGAUCCUGGGAUUCUGGGAGCCGCUCCGGGUGUGGUGUGCCCCUCCUCCCCGUCCUCUGCUUCUGGCCCGGCUUCCCCGUCGCCGGCGGCGGCAUCGCCGGGGCGGGUCGCGUCACUGGCGCCACUUGCCCUAGAUCUGGUCUCCUCUUCGUUGACCAGUGGGUUGCGGGCCGGACCGUCUGUUGGGCCUGUUGGGCCUUGCGCUCUUGUUCUGGCUUGUGAGCCCACUCCCCCUUCUCUGUCGCCAGUUGACGAUUUCCCCCCUCUCUUCUCUGUGGGCCCGGUGCGGCCUGCUUCUGCUUCGCGAGUCCCCCCUCCUCCCCCAGCCCGCUUGGCCCAUCUGGCCCAGGUGGGCACGACUCGGUCUGGGUAUUUAUGGAUCCCCCGCGGCUCCCCCCUGCUAGGGUUUCCGGCUUCCGCCGCUGAUUUGCAUCGUCACCGUCUCCCCAUUCGUUGUCUCGUCAGAUCCAACCCUCCUCCUCCCCUUCUCCUCUCCUUCGCUGCGAUGCUCCCCAUGGACAAAUUGCGGGGCUAGUCCUGUGAUACGGUCUCGGGCAGCAAGCGCCGGCGGGAGGAUUCUCCAGGCUCUGCUGUGGAUUUGGAGCUCGAGGCUUCGCUCCGUUCCAAGUUGGAGGCGGAGCAUGCGGUUCGUGAGCAGGUGGCUCGCGACCGCGCUGCAUGGGCCGUGGGUCCGGCGUGGCUCCAGCGCUCGGAGCGGGAGUGAGCUCCUGGAUCUGGUCCACAAGGGUCCAGAUCUGGGGCUUCUCUCUCUCCGGCGGUGGAUCCUUGGGAAGCGGCGGCGGCGGCUGGUGGGGGGAUCUCGUCCUCGUCGGGCUCCCUGCCUGCCCUUGGCGCGGGGCGUGGCGCGCCUGCUCCGGCGCGGAUUCCCCCCCUGCCCGGCAGGUGCUGGCGCGGGGCCUCGUCCUCCGCCUCGGUCCUUUGGGGGGCCGGCUCGGCGGCCUGCCGGUCCUUUUCCUGGUGCUUCCUCCUCAUUGGGGGUGGGAGAUGGGCUCCUGCCUCGUCCUCCCUCCCUCCCGCAGCUUGGCCCCAAUUCUUCCACCCCGAGCAACCCGUCUGCGCUCACCUGCUUCGCCUGCCAUAGGCCUGGGUACUUUCAAUCCAGAUGCACCAACCCCCCGUUCUGCCUGAUAUGUCGCUCGGAUGGGCACCUCACUGUCAACUGUAUGAAUCGCCAAAAGCCUCCUUCUUUCCUCCAGUUUGGCUUGGGGCUUCCUAGCUGCGCUUUCUUUACUAUGGAUAGCGAUCUCCCUGUCCUAGUGGCGGCCCUCUCCCUCUCUAAUGCUGCCAUAGUGUCGGUGAAAGAUCAAAAGAUCUCGUCUCAAAAUUUGCUUGAAGGGCUUCGGAUCUGGGAUGCUGAAGGUUGGGAUUGGCACGUUAAUCAACUGUCGGACUAUGAAUUCUCUGUUGUGUUCCCUUCCAAGGACUGCCUUCGGAUGAUUGCCUCGUGCACUAGCUUCACCCUUUCCCUCAACCAAUUGGUGGUUUCUGUGAAGCCGGCCACGUGCAGUGGAAAAGCGGUUGGUCCUCUCUCUCAGGUCUGGGUGUUGGUGGACGAUUUGCCAGCGGGCUCCGAUCUUCUGCCUUUCUCAUGGCGUUUGAUGUCCUGAUUGGGAAACCUGUGGAGGUGGAUGUGGAGUCAUUGGAUAAGGUUGGUCCAGCUCGGAUCAAGAUUUGGUGUUUGGACCCACUCUGUGUUCAUGGAGCUAUCGAUGUUUUUCCGUCUCCCAAUGGUGUCAGGCUUCGUGUUCGGGUGGAAGGGGCGGCUGCUUUCCAACCCCCACCCCCUCCUCCUCCCCCAUCCAACCCCUCGGACAAGCAUGAUAAGGAGGGGGAUGGCUCUGUGGGUGGUCAAAACCAGAGUGACGGAUCUAACCUGCGGUUCACCCAAUCCGAGUGGGAUGGGCUGGCUGAUUCGGAGCAGGAGUUGUUUCAUUCCCAGGCCCCUGCCGACACGGCUCCCCGUGAGUCGGUGGCGAUCCCCCUGCUGACCCUCUGGUGCCUGCUACUGAUGAUGUGUUUCUGAAGAACCAGCCUGUUUCGGCCACCCCUAUUUCCGGGGCCUGCUCCAACCUUUCAGUUUGUCCUAUCUCCCCCACUCGCUCCGGGAUUGAGGACCUGCCUGUCUUCCCUGGUCGUGAUGAGGUGGGGGCUUAGUCUAAGAGGAAGAAGAAAUCGUCAGUGCGCAAGUUCUCGGCUAAGAGCAGGAACUCCUCGGGCUCUAAACAAUCCAUGACUGGUGUUUGCCGCCGCCUCGACAAGGACCUCGACUCGAUGUCUUGCUCGGGCCCCGUCCCGGCUUCUCCCAUGGCUCGUUCUCCUGCGAUCCGGUCGCCCGCUUCCACGACUCGCAAGGGUAGGCGGGUUGCUGAUGCGGGCGGCUCUAUCAUGGAGCGGGCGGAGAGGCGGGCCACUGCUAAGGAUCUUCCCCCUUCAGGUAAACAUCUUGGUCCUUCCCCUUCUUCCUCCCCGACUCGGCUCGUUUUACCGCCCCUUUCCGAUGAUAUCCUUUUAAAUAUUAUGUCUGAUGUGGGAGUGUUGGUAGAUCCCGAGGUUGCCUCCCCUGUUUCUCUUCUUUCUACUAUUCGGGCUAACAAGAUGGCUCAGGCGGCCAUCGCUAAAGCCAAAGAGGCCGUUGCCUCUUCGGCUGCAGUUUCUGUAGGAGUCCGGGCUCAGGGUGCGGGUAUGGAGGUUGGUAGUGGCCAACCCCAGCCUAGCACUUCCAGAAGGGGCCCUGCUAAAAGAUCUAAACCCCGCACAGCUCCUAGCAGGUCGAGCCUCCGCAUUAAAAAUCUGUCUUACAAAUGAAAGCCCUAUUUUGGAACAUUAGAGGUUUCGGUGCUAGGGGGCGCCAUGACCAAAUUAAGGACUUGGUGCGUGCGAAUAAUAUCGAUUUGGUGGGGCUGGUUGAAACCUUUUAAAGAGUCUUUUUCCCCCAAUGAACUUUCUGCUAUCGCGGGCAUGGAUAGAUUUGAUUGGCAUGUGUUACCUGCUUCGGGCCAUCCGGGGGGAUCUUGAUUGGCUCAAAAAAAGAUGUCUUUGAUUUCGUUGCCUUUGAUCAUGGGGUCUUCUGGGCUAGCACGGUAGUUUGUCACAAAACCCUUAAUAUUCUAUGGGGAGUUCAUUGUGGUGUAUGGUCUAGCGGAUCACUCGAUGUCUUCCUUAUUUUUGGAUGAGUUGUCUGCUAAGAUUGAGGCUUGCAAUCUAGCGAUGGUUAUCGGCGGGGACUUUAACCUCCUUCAUUUUCCAUUUGAUAAAAGUAAUGACAAUUUUUCCUGGUCUCUGGCUAAUGCCUUCAAUGACUUUAUUAGCACCAAUGCCAUCCGCGAGCUCUCUAGGGUUGGAGCCCGUUUCACUUGGUCUAAUCAUCAGGCCAACCGAUUAGAUCAGUGCUUUAUAGAGUUUCUGUGUGUCCUAGUUGGGACUCUCUAUUUCCCCGGGCCUCCCUCACCGCGAAAAGUAUCGUUGCCCCCGACCAUACCCCUCUUCUUCUUGAUGAUGGGAUGCAUCAAGAUAGACCUCCUGCUAGGUUCCAAUUUGACGCUUCCUGGCUACUUGUUGAAGGCUUUAACGAUAUGCUAUCCUCGAAGAUUGCCCUUCUUCUUUCCUCAAAUGCUCGUUCCUUUGGUCCUUUAGACGAUUGGCACUCUUGCUCUUACAAUUUAAGCAAAUUUCUUAGAGGCUGGUCUCGUAAUCACGCUGCUGAGGAGCGUCGCUCGAAGGAUCUCAUAGAAUCUCAAAUCUUGGCUCUUGACCAUGCGGCUGAUUCCUCUAGGCUCUCUGACGAUGGGUGGUCUUUGCGGUACUGUGACGCCCCCGAUUCAAUCGUACACUAAUCAUGCACGCAAAUGUGUACGAUCAAGAUCAGGGACUCACGGGAAGAUAUCACAACACAACUCUACAAAUAAAAUAAGUCAUACAAGCAUCAUAAUACAAGCCAGGGGCCUCGAGGGCUCGAAUACAAGUGCUCGAUCAUAGAUGAGUCAGCGGAAGCAACAAUAUCUGAGUACAGACAUAAGUUAAACAAGUUGCCAUAAGAUGGCUAGCACAAACUGGGAUAUAGAUCGAAAGAGGCGCAGGCCUCCUGCCUGGGAUCCUCCUAACUACUCCUGGUCGUCGUCGUUAGCCUGCACGUAGUAGUAGGCACCUCCAAUGUAGUAGUCGUCGUCGACACUGGCUCCUGGCUCCUGGACUCCAGCAUCUGGUUGCGACAACCAGAAAGAAAGGAAAGGGGAAAAAAGGGGGGAGAAAGCAACCGUGAGUACUCAUCCAAAGUACUCGCAAGCAAGGAACUACACUACAUAUGCAUGGGUAUAUGUGUAAGGAGGCCAUAGCAGUGGACUGAACUGCAGAAUGCCAGAAUAAGAGGGGGAUAGCUAAUCCUGUCGAAGACUACGCUUCUGGCAGCCUCCGUCUUGCAGCAUGUAGAAGAGAGUAGAUUGAAGUCCUCCAAGUAGCAUCUCCAAGUAGCAUAUCCAGGUAGCAUAUCCAGGUAGCAUCUCCAAGCGCAUCUCCAGUCGCAUCGCAUAGCAUAAUCCUACCCGGCGAUCCUCUCCUCGUCGCCCUGUAGAAAAGCGAUCACCGGGUUGUCUGUGGAACUUGGAAGGGUGUGUUUUAUUAAGUAUCCGGUUCUAGUUGUCAUAAGGUCAAGGUACAACUCCAAGUCGUCCUGUUACCGAAGAUCACGGCUAUUCGAAUAGAUUAACUUCCCUGCAGGGGUGCACCACAUAACCCAACACGCUCGAUCCCAUUUGGCCGGACACACUUUCCUGGGUCAUGCCCGGCCUCGAAAGAUCAACACGUCGCAGCCCCACCUAGGCUCAACAGAGAGGCCAGCACGCCGGUCUAAACCUAAGCGCACAGGGGUCUGGGCCCAUCGCCCAUAGCACACCUGCACGUUGCGAGGGCGGCCGAAAGCAGACCUAGCCUAGUGGCGUUCCAGUCCAAUUCGGCGCGCGCCGCUCCGUCGCUGACGUCUGAAGUGCUUCGGCUGAUACCACGACGUCGGGAUACCCAUAACUACUCACACGUAGAUGGUUAGUGCGUAUAGGCUCGUAGCCGACUCAGAUCAAAUACCAAGAUCUCGUUAAGCGUGUUAAGUAUCCGCGAACGCCGAACAGGGCCAGGCCCACCUCUCUCCUAGGUGGUCACAACCUGCCCUGCCGCUCCGCUACAAAGUAAUAGUCGGGGGCCGUCGGGAACCCAGGCCCACCUCUACUGGGAUGGAGCCACCUGCCCCUUCAGCCCCCAACUCCGAACAGUAUCACAGGUAAUGUAACAGUGUAAAGUAUAUAGUAUAUGCCCGUGAUCACCUCCCGAAGUGAUCACAGCCCAGUAGUAUAGCAUGGCAGACGGACAAGAGUGUAGGGCCACUGAUGGAACACUAGCAUCCUAUAUUAAGCAUUUAGGAUUGCGGGUAAGGUAUCAAUGACUGUAGCAGCAAUGACAGGCUAUGCAUCAGAAUAGGAUUAACGGAAAGCAGUAACAUGCUACACUACUCUAAUGCAAGCAGUAUAGAGAAGAGUAGGCGAUAUCUGGUGAUCAAAGGGGGGGCUUGCCUGGUUGCUCUGGCAAGAGAGAGGGGUCGUCAACACCGUAGUCGAAUUGGGCAGCAGCAGCGUCGGUCUCGUAGUCUACCGGAGAGAAGAGGGGGAGAAACAGUAAAUACAUAGCAAUCAAGUGCAUAACAGGACAACAAGCAGAGCUAGACGUGUUCUAACUCGGUAGUAGGUGAUACCGACGAAGGGGGAAAGCAUCCGGGAAAGUAUUCCCGGUGUUUCGUGUUUUCGGACAGAUGAAACGGAGGAGGAAAGUUGCGUGUUUGAUAUGUUAGGGGUGUGUGGUGGACGAACGGGCUGCGUAUCCAAAAUCGUCUCGUCGUUCUGAGCAACUUUCAUGUUGAAAAUAUUUUAAUCCGAGUUACGGAUUAAAAGAUAUGAUUUUCUAAAUAUUUUAUUAAUUUCUGGAAUUUAAUUAAUUCGAAAAUGAUUUAAUGACAUCAGCAUGAUGUCAUGCUGACAUCAGAGUUGACUGGUCAACCUGACUUGUGGGUCCCAUUCGUCAUUGACUGAUUAGUCUAAUUAGGGUUUAAUUAAACUAUCUACUUAAUUAGAUUAAUUAAACAUGAUUAAUUAACUUAAUUAAUUCAUUAACUAUUUUAAUUAUUAAUUAAUUAAUUAAAUAUAUAUUUAUUUUUAUUUCGUUUUUUUUUCUCAGGGGUGUGGGCCCUGUUUGGCAUUGGCCCAGAGGCAACUAACAGUGUUUAGUUACUCUAAAAAUAUAUUAAUUAGUGAUGUGGGGCCAGGCUAUCAGUGAGUCAUUUUUUUACAGAGUUUAUUUAACCAAAAAAACAUUAAUUAGCAAGGUGGGGCCCGGUGUCAGGGAGUUAGGGGGGUCAUUAGCGCAUCACUAAUGAGGCCACGUCAGUGGCUAACGGCGGUGAUGGCAGAAUGCGCCGGCGGUAGCCGUUCAGUGGACUCCGACCACUAUGUGGCCCGGCGACGGUUCCCACGGCACGUGCUCGAUGUCGCUUGUCAAUUGUUGACCGCGGCUCGUGCGGGGGCUGCCGGAAUCGACGGGGGCGACGGCGUGUAGUGGCGGCGACGUUGGAGAGCACGGAGGGAGGCGGUUGCAGGGGCGGCCCGAGCGGUAGAGCUCCGGCGGGCGCGCGGUCACGGGACAGAGGCUGGGCACGGGCGCAGUGAGGGCGCCGUGGCGGUGCGGCAGUAGCAGCCGUGGCUACGUGGCGCGCACGGGCACGCGGGGGGAGGCGAGCGGGCCACACGGCAGCGCGGGCGACAGCAGGGGAGCACGGCGGGAGCUAGCGGGUGCAGGCCACAGGCGGGGAACGGCGAGCAAGGGGACCGGAGGAGAGGAAUCUCACGAGGGGAUGUAGGGUCCGGGCAGUGGGGGUCGAGGAAGAAGACAGGGACGACGCAGUCUGGCGGGGAGGCGAUGCCGGCGAGGUAGCGGGCGAUCCGGUGGUGGCGGCGUCGAGCGAUGACGGGGUGGGGGCCCCGAGCACUGGGCACCAGUCAGGAGGAGGUGAGGACGGGGCAGCAACCGGGCCGCCGGCGACGAGGGCGGCAAGGGGAUGAGCGGCGACAGCGAGGAAGCACCGAGCGGCGUCGGGGUCGAGCCCUCGAUCUCGAUCCAGAUCGAGGGGGGAGUGNNNNNNNNNNNNNNNNNNNNNNNNNNNNNNNNNNNNNNNNNNNNNNNNNNNNNNNNNNNNNNNNNNNNNNNNNNNNNNNNNNNNNNNNNNNNNNNNNNNNNNNNNNNNNNNNNNNNNNNNNNNNNNNNNNNNNNNNNNNNNNNNNNNNNNNNNNNNNNNNNNNNNNNNNNNNNNNNNNNNNNNNNNNNNNNNNNNNNNNNNNNNNNNNNNNNNNNNNNNNNNNNNNNNNNNNNNNNNNNNNNNNNNNNNNNNNNNNNNNNNNNNNNNNNNNNNNNNNNNNNNNNNNNNNNNNNNNNNNNNNNNNNNNNNNNNNNNNNNNNNNNNNNNNNNNNNNNNNNNNNNNNNNNNNNNNNNNNNNNNNNNNNNNNNNNNNNNNNNNNNNNNNNNNNNNNNNNNNNNNNNNNNNNNNNNNNNNNNNNNNNNNNNNNNNNNNNNNNNNNNNNNNNNNNNNNNNNNNNNNNNNNNNNNNNNNNNNNNNNNNNNNNNNNNNNNNNNNNNNNNNNNNNNNNNNNNNNNNNNNNNNNNNNNNNNNNNNNNNNNNNNNNNNNNNNNNNNNNNNNNNNNNNNNNNNNNNNNNNNNNNNNNNNNNNNNNNNNNNNNNNNNNNNNNNNNNNNNNNNNNNNNNNNNNNNNNNNNNNNNNNNNNNNNNNNNNNNNNNNNNNNNNNNNNNNNNNNNNNNNNNNNNNNNNNNNNNNNNNNNNNNNNNNNNNNNNNNNNNNNNNNNNNNNNNNNNNNNNNNNNNNNNNNNNNNNNNNNNNNNNNNNNNNNNNNNNNNNNNNNNNNNNNNNNNNNNNNNNNNNNNNNNNNNNNNUUUAGUUUUGUAAAGUACAAAAAUGAUCCCUAAAUUGGUAAUAGAAAUUAUACCACUGCCACAAUUAAUUUGGCACCUAAAUAUAUUAGUUUGUAAUCGUUUAUCAUUUUAAAAGCAUUUAAAUAAUUGUGUUUGCUACUGUUUUAGUUUAUUUAGUGCAUUUAAAUAUUUUAUUAAAUGAUGAUUUCUUCACCAACAUUUAUUAUGGAUUAUUUGACACAUUAGGAACAAUUUAGUUUUGACUUUUGAAAACUUUAAUUGUUUUAACUUUAAUUCAAAUUUAGAAUUUGAACCUAUUUCGAUCUAACGUGGGAUUAUCAACAAUAAUCGAGGUGACGUGGCAUCGUUAACACGGGAUUACUGUAGCUUGAUUACCCGGGCGUCACAAUUCUCCUCCAGUACAAGAAAUCUCGUCCCGAGAUUUAAGAGGUAGUGAAAGGGGGAAGGUUUGGUAACGAAUCUAGCGGGUCUUCUCAUUCUGCCUUGCUCUUCUCAAAGAGGCCGGUCCAAUACAUUGAUGUCUUCAUUUCUCUGUUUCAGGUCAUGAUAAUGCAGUCGGCAUCCUUUCUUCAGGAACUCCAUCGUACUUACGAGAGAAUAAAGGGUGGGUAUUCCGGGAGAACAGACCUCUGCAAGGUCAACUAUCUGGUCGAUAACAUCGAGGGAGGUGUCGGAAGUAACUCUCGAAUUUAAACUUAAGAAAAUAUCGAGAGUAAAGUAAGAAGGUACCAUGAGAAGUUUCCAAUGGGCAGGCAAUCGUUCAAUGGCCUAAUCAGAAGGUGAAAGGGGUUCAGAGCAACGAGAAUAGGUAUUGCGCCUCAUACCAGAAUAGUUCACUAGACAGGUGGUCUGUGAAUUACAUACGAAGUCAAGCGUGAGGAACAACCUUGGGAACAUGUGGUGUUCAGGAGAGUCAGGUUUCGAUCCUGUGGAACUGUGGGUUAUGGGCCCACCAUGUUGGUUAAAAGUAGGAAGGGCGCUGACAUCUCGCACGGUCAGGGUGGCAAGGCAUGUCAAAGGAUAGCCUGUCAGUAUGUCAGCAACAACAUCGGUACCAAGGGCGAGGAACGAAGAGAACCAUUUUCCUGCUCGUUGAAACGAGGCAGACCAAUAGGGAAAGUUCCCGUCCAUCGGUGGUUACCGGAAGUCAUCAACAGUAGAAACAGGGUCUCGCUGACAGAGUUGUACACCGAGGUGCUACCAUAAGCAGUGAAUUAUUACUGCUUAUACAAUAUAGAUCACAAGAAGGUUUAAACAAACCAAUGGAAAGGGAAAAGUGAUUAUCAGGUUUUAAACAGAACAAUGGAAAGGAAAAUGUGUUUAAACACAUAUUUCAAGGGUAUAUUCUUCCCAAGGCCAAGCAGAACAUAUUAUCCAUCACAGGGUAUAAUGUAGACAACUCUUUAGGUAAGGGGGGGAGGAAUCUCAUGAUAUUACCCAUACAACGGUGUUAGGAUAAUUGAUAAAUAAAAUUUAGCAUCGUGCUUCAAAUGUUCCUGUUGAAAAUCGGAGUACCAUUGACAUGCUUCGAGAUAGCAUUGACAUGGUCUUCAGGUGAAGAUCAGACUUUGGAAACACGAAGGAUCCAUCAGGAAUAACUGGUAUAAUAAGCCUUACAAUUUCCUCCAGGAAGAAUGGUUGUCCUUGCAAAAGAAAUUAUAACGAUAGGUCCUCCACCCAGGGGGGGGGGGUGCUAGGCAUGACAUCAUGUUACCGGGUCACGUAGAGAUCAAUGUUACAACUCUUGGAAAUAUGUCCCAACCAUCAUAUCUGACCGAGAUUCAGAUCCGGUUGGUGUCAGGAUACCUCAGACUUAGGAUACCUGAGAAGAAAAGGUGCAACGCAAAUUGACGAGAUGACAUUGUAAGAUUCUCGGGGAAAUGAACUAUGAAGUGAUUUCUGUUAUCAAGAGUCCAUCAUUAACCCAAGGAGAGGACAAGGAGGUGUCUGGUGAACUCAACGGCAAUUCACCGAGAUUCCCAAAAGAUGGAUGUCCACAAUUAAGUGAACAAGGAGAUAACAUUUGUUAGAUCAAAUGAUAUAAGGAAGUAUGCUCGAGGAAAACAUACACAAUUAAACAUUGGUUGAAAGGUGCGCCCGAAAUAUGGGUUGGGUUGCACGACCAAUGUCAGAAUGGUGAUGCAAUAAUCAAUAGCCUAAGAAUGAACUUUCGACCAUUAACUUCAAAGAGAUAGGGUUGCUAGAAGGAAAGAAUCCAAACAACACCGUUCACUUGUUGGAAUUAACACAGGGACCAAGAAAGAAUGGUGAUGGUGAGAAGUAUUUCUAUGUCAAGAAUUCUCAAGAGGUGGAACAAAUCUCAGAACAUUCUUGACAUAAAGGACGGUAAUACUCCAAGGUAAAGAAGAACAAUUGCUGGAUAGCAAGGAAACCAAGGUACAACACAAAUUGUGAACAAGUUUGUGUUGGGGGGGGGGGAAGGCAAGAAUGUUGCCAACGAUAACUCAAAUCAUCGAGGGACAAGGAUGGUAUUUCUCAUCAUGAAUUCAAUUGAUAUCCUGGAAGAACUCAUAAGGUUGAUGAGGAUCACGACACAUUUGUCGACAGAUUUCAUGAAGAAGUAAUCAAUCAGCGACGACAUCAAGUCAAAGGAAUGAUGAAGCCAAAAGUCAUUGGAACCAUGGGUACGACACAAACUCGAACUCAAGCUUGUUGUUUAAGGUGAAAGGGUAUGACGAGGAAAAUCGACGUAAGGUUAGUUCAUCGUCGAAAAUUGGUGCUCCGAGAAUAAGGACCAGGUAGCACCGUUAGAAUCGUCACGACAAUGAUAUAGCCAAACAGGCUAGGAAUGGCGUGAUCGGGUACAAACUCGUACUUAUAGAAGCUUACUGAAGAGUUGUUGAACCGUAGAGCGGACUCGGUUCAGUUAUCGGUGUCUUUGAGUGUUCAAUAACUCCGAGCCCAUGAAAAAUUGUAAUCGGUGAGUAUGUAGUACUUGAUGAAGAACUCAUAAGAAAUUAUGCAGUUCCAAGAUAAUCUCGAGAUACCAGGUGGUAAUACUCGAUGACAGAUCAAACUAGAAGUUGAACUGGGGUUUUGCUCUAUAGAAGACAAGUGCUUAAACUUGCACAGGACAUGAUAUUUAAAGGAGAACAUGGUCAGAACCACGAUUGCAAAAAGGCCAGAUCUCAGAUAUAAGAUGAACUUAUACCAAGGGAAUAAUUGAUUUUAAAAGAAGCUUCGAUGAGAAGAUCUACAUCAUGUCUAUGGGCAUGAACACAAAGUUCAAGGUCGACUCCCACUUCUUCAAUGUAUAAUCUUCCAUUCACUUCUCGCUUUGAUAAAGGCAUUAGUGUUGAAAGUUUUACCCGGUGAAAUACCAGAUGAGUAUGACUCGUGAAAUCUUCCGAGUUCACACAUAUUAAGGAAGGCAUAGGUUCAACCCAUCCGGGCAUCUUACGAACAUAUACCACAAACUUCGGGGUAAUUAAUACAAGCUCGAAAGUAGAGCAUUGUUGGUCAAGCAGAGGAUACAAUGUACCAAAGGCAUUAUGUAUCAGGGGAAAGAGCUCACAAGGUGAUUAAUUAUGAAGGACAUAAAAUCCAACAAAGGAACCGAUGGUCCACAACAGAGCUGGUGUGGGUAUCGGUACUCUAUCAAAGGAAGAAGGAAUGCAAGUGCACCGGAUUAUAGAAACAACUGACUAACUCAAUUGUCAAAUGCAAAGGAAUUAAGAUUCCCAAAUCAAGGGAUCAAAAGCAAUGCUCUGAGUAGGGAUGGAUAAGUUGAAUAGCCUUAGGGUACAAUCAAUGACAAUUGGAUUGGUCGAGAACCAAUUCCAGUUAAAAGAAUGGCAACUUAGCCGGAGAAGUAAUUUAUAAGGAUCAAUGAUGAUUGCGUGCAUUCGCAAACAUAUUGAGUCAACAGACUCAAAAUGAUAAUGACAAGGAAUGUCAUUAAGACUACGAGACUUAUGGGAUUAACCAUAAUGCGAGCAAGCAAGAACUUCAAGAGCCAAAGGCUCCAGAGGAUUUUCGGAAGAUCGAAUAGUAUUUUGAAGACUUUUGUGAAACUCAUGAACAACUGGGGAUGAGCGGAUACUUGACAAGUGCGGGGAUUUAUUUGAAGGGGUAUUCAUGUGGCAAAUAACUGCUAGGCAGUAGGCACGAAGUAUUCUCGGAACAAUAGAGAAAACUUCGGGUAUCUUGUAAUAACAAGAACAAUGGGGAAUGAUCGUAAGAAUGGCAAGUGCAAGUAGUUAUCCAUAAGGAUUUAUCGGUGGUCGGGAAUAGCAAAAGUGAUGGGCACAAAGUCUCGAGAGAAUAUCAAAGAGUAUCUCCGAAAUCUUCUGGUGCAGUCGGUGACCAUCUGGACUGAAGGGGCUCACCGGGACAAAGCAUUUUCGAGAACCUAAAGUUACUUUUUAGUAAAAAUCGUUUAACCCGAAUAGAAGAGGGUUCAGAAUCCCAGAGUGAAGGUCGAGGAAUAAAAGAUCCUAAUACCUCCCGAUGGCGACGUGGGCCCAUGGGCCACACAGCCAUGUUAGUAAAAGUUUUUCAACGACUAGACUCGACUUCGGCCAAGGAGUUGGAAAGGGGGAUUCCUACAGACAGUCGGCUCUGAUACCAACUUGUGACGCCCCCGAUUCAAUCGUACACUAAUCAUGCACGCAAAUGUGUACGAUCAAGAUCAGGGACUCACGGGAAGAUAUCACAACACAACUCUACAAAUAAAAUAAGUCAUACAAGCAUCAUAAUACAAGCCAGGGGCCUCGAGGGCUCGAAUACAAGUGCUCGAUCAUAGACGAGUCAGCGGAAGCAACAAUAUCUGAGUACAGACAUAAGUUAAACAAGUUGCCAUAAGAUGGCUAGCACAAACUGGGAUAUAGAUCGAAGGAGGCGCAGGCCUCCUGCCUGGGAUCCUCCUAACUACUCCUGGUCGUCGUCGUCAGCCUGCACGUAGUAGUAGGCACCUCCAAUGUAGUAGUUGUCGUCGACACUGGCUCCUGGCUCCUGGACUCCAGCAUCUGGUUGCGACAACCAGAAAGAAAGGAAAGGGGAAAAAAGGGGGGAGAAAGCAACCGUGAGUACUCAUCCAAAGUACUCGCAAGCAAGGAACUACACUACAUAUGCAUGGGUAUAUGUGUAAGGAGGCCAUAGCAGUGGACUGAACUGCAGAAUGCCAGAAUAAGAGGGGGAUAGCUAAUCCUGUCGAAGACUACGCUUCUGGCAGCCUCCGUCUUGCAGCAUGUAGAAGAGAGUAGAUUGAAGUCCUCCAAGUAGCAUCUCCAAGUAGCAUAUCCAGGUAGCAUAUCCAGGUAGCAUCUCCAAGCGCAUCUCCAGUCGCAUCGCAUAGCAUAAUCCUACCCGGCGAUCCUCUCCUCGUCGCCCUGUAGAAAAGCGAUCACCGGGUUGUCUGUGGAACUUGGAAGGGUGUGUUUUAUUAAGUAUCCGGUUCUAGUUGUCAUAAGGUCAAGGUACAACUCCAAGUCGUCCUGUUACCGAAGAUCACGGCUAUUCGAAUAGAUUAACUUCCCUGCAGGGGUGCACCACAUAACCCAACACGCUCGAUCCCAUUUGGCCGGACACACGUUCCUGGGUCAUGCCCGGCCUCGGAAGAUCAACACGUCGCAGCCCCACCUAGGCUCAACAGAGAGGCCAGCACGCCGGUCUAAACCUAAGCGCACAGGGGUCUGGGCCCAUCGCCCAUAGCACACCUGCACGUUGCGAGGGCGGCCGAAAGCAGACCUAGCCUAGUGGCGUUCCAGUCCAAUUCGGCGCGCGCCGCUCCGUCGCUGACGUCUGAAGUGCUUCGGCUGAUACCACGACGUCGGGAUACCCAUAACUACUCCCACGUAGAUGGUUAGUGCGUAUAGGCUCGUAGCCGACUCAGAUCAAAUACCAAGAUCUCGUUAAGCGUGUUAAGUAUCCGCGAACGCCGAACAGGGCCAGGCCCACCUCUCUCCUAGGUGGUCACAACCUGCCCUGCCGCUCCGCUACAAAGUAAUAGUCGGGGGCCGUCGGGAACCCAGGCCCACCUCUACCGGGAUGGAGCCACCUGCCCCUUCAGCCCCCAACUCCGAACAGUAUCACAGGUAAUGUAACAGUGUAAAGUAUAUAGUAUAUGCCCGUGAUCACCUCCCGAAGUGAUCACAUCCCAGUAGUAUAGCAUGGCAGACGGACAAGAGUGUAGGGCCACUGAUGGAACACUAGCAUCCUAUAUUAAGCAUUUAGGAUUGCGGGUAAGGUAUCAAUGACUGUAGCAGCAAUGACAGGCUAUGCAUCAGAAUAGGAUUAACGGAAAGCAGUAACAUGCUACACUACUCUAAUGCAAGCAGUAUAGAGAAGAGUAGGCGAUAUUUGGUGAUCAAAGGGGGGGCUUGCCUGGUUGCUCUGGCAAGAGAGAGGGGUCGUCAACACCAUAGUCGAAUUGGGCAGCAGCAGCGUCGGUCUCGUAGUCUACCGGAGAGAAGAGGGGGAGAAACAGUAAAUACAUAGCAAUCAAGUGCAUAACAGGACAACAAGCAGAGCUAGACGUGUUCUAACUCGGUAGUAGGUGAUACCGACGAAGGGGGAAAGCAUCCGGGAAAGUAUUCCCGGUGUUUCGUGUUUUCGGACAGAUGAAACGGAGGGGGAAAGUUGCGUGUUUGAUAUGUUAGGGGUGUGUGGUGGACGAACGGGCUGCGUAUCCGAAAUCGUCUCGUCGUUCUGAGCAACUUUCAUGUUGAAAAUAUUUUAAUCUGAGUUACGGAUUAAAAGAUAUGAUUUUCUAAAUAUUUUAUUAAUUUCUGGAAUUUAAUUAAUUCGAAAAUGAUUUAAUGACAUCAGCAUGAUGUCAUGCUGACAUCAGAGUUGACUGGUCAAUCUGACUUGUGGGUCCCAUUCGUCAUUGACUGAUUAGUCUAAUUAGGGUUUAAUUAAACUAUCUACUUAAUUAGAUUAAUUAAACAUGAUUAAUUAACUUAAUUAAUUCAUUAACUAUUUUAAUUAUUAAUUAAUUAAUUAAAUAUAUAUUUAUUUUUAUUUCGUUUUUUUUUCUCAGGGGUGUGGGCCCUGUUUGGCAUUGGCCCAGAGGCAACUAACAGUGUUUAGUUACUCUAAAAAUAUAUUAAUUAGUGAUGUGGGGCCACGCUAUCAGUGAGUCAUUUUUUUACAGAGUUUAUUUAACCAAAAAAAAA
Molecule: long non-coding RNA, 33739 nt
Filed under: Triticum aestivum (bread wheat)
Lineage: Eukaryota; Viridiplantae; Streptophyta; Magnoliopsida; Poales; Poaceae
Description: long non-coding RNA (TAES_LNC007264)
Source: RNAcentral